AGCAUGGGAGGGUUAUUUAAAAUAUUUCCCCCUUAAUUAUUUAGGUUCCUUUAUAAUUCCUUAGGGAUGGGAAGGAGCUACUCAUUUUUUGUAGUACAAUGGAUAAGGCCAGGAAUUAUUUUAAUUUUUUUUUUUAAGACCACAAUAAUAAAUCAUAUUCCUAUACAGGCUACACUAUCUACGAUAAUCAGGAAAACAUUAAAACAAAUCUCUAUUGUACUGAUUCAGUUUUAGUAGCACUUAAUUUAAGCACUGUUUGUAAUCGCUGCAUUUGUAAUUGCCAUCAGAUUGACAUGAUCUAAAUAUACAGCCCAGUGUUAUGACUAUCAGAAAUAAUGCAGCAAUACCUCUUGUGUGCCAACGUUUCCAGGGAUUCUCGAAAUCAAAG
Molecule: non-coding RNA, 388 nt
Organism: Pelobates cultripes (western spadefoot toad)
Lineage: Eukaryota; Metazoa; Chordata; Amphibia; Anura; Pelobatidae
Source: the annotation of a GenBank genome assembly